UAUAUAUAUAUAUGCAUAUAUGUAUUUGUAUGUUAUGUUAUAUAUUAGUAUACAUAAUAUGUAAUAUUGAAGCCAUAUACUUGCCUAUACUCCCUGUGCUUUCUAUUUCAGAUAAAACCAGUGCCCAGUGGGAGUAUCCAGCAAGGGCAAGUCUUGUUACUGUGGAGUGAUACAAGGAAUGUCCUAAUUUAUGAAACUGUUGGAUAGCAGUUUGGCUAGCAAGGUUACAUCAAAAUUGAGCAUGUUCAUUGCAGGUUGAUGUUCUUGGGAUGGUGGACAGACUUCAAGAUUGUGUUCGGAACUGGUGGUGUCCUGUUUCCAUGAGGAAUAGCAUGCGUGCUUCCUUGAAUGUUUGAAAGCUGUUUGUUUUACAGUAUUAGGAAUGGCCUAUUUUAUGAAACUUGGAUAGCGGUUUGGCAAGCAAGGUUACAUCAAAAUUGAGCAUGUUCAUUGCAGGUUGAUGUUCUUGGGAUGGUGGACAGACUUCAAGAUUGUGUUCAGAACUGGUGGUGUCCUGUUUCCAUGAGGAAUAGCAUGCAUGUCUCCUUGAAUGUUGGAAAGCUGUUUGUUUUACAGUAUUAGGAAUGGCCUAUUUUAUGAAACUGUUGGAUAGCGGUUUGGCAAGCAAGGUUACAUCAAAAUUGAGCAUGUUCAUUGCAGGUUGAUGUUCUUGGGAUGGUGGACAGACUUCAAGAUUGUGUUCAGAACUGGUGGUGUCCUGUUUCCAUGAGGAAUAGCAUGGAUGCUUCCUUGAAUGUUGGAAAGCCGUUUGUUUUACAGUAUUAGGAAUGGCCUGUUUUAUGAAACUGUUAGAUAGCAGUUUGGCAAGCAAGGUUACAUCAGAAUUGAGCAUGUUCAUUGCAGGUUGAUGUUCUUGCGGUGGAAAGGCUUCAAGAUUGUGUUGAAAACUGGAAUGGCCUGUUUUAUGAAACUGUUGGAUAGUUGAUUUGCUUGGCAAGAAUUUGGAGUUGUUAUACAGAUAGAAUGGCCUGUUUUAUGAAACUGUUAGAUAGCAGUUUGGCAAGCAAGGUUACAUCAGAAUUGAGCAUGUUCAUUGCAGGUUGAUGUUCUUGCGGUGGACAGGCUUCAAGAUUGUGUUGAAAACUGUGGUGUUGUGACGUCAUAGACAAGAUGGUGGCGACGUCGGUUGGAUAUAAACAAUAACACUGGGCAGAAGGACACACAUGCAUGGACUGUUUGGUUGGAAGGAGAGAGCUCUGUCUGGUAAGUUGCUGGGAAAGAUGUGGAUGGAUGUACAAGUUACCAAAUGUUCUUAUUACUUCAGGUAAGUUACUGAGAAAGAUUUUAAGUAAGAGUUUUUGAGAGACCAACUACUGGUAGUAUAAUAGCACAAGAGAAUUAAAAUUAAUAGUAGUAUUUAAACCAGAUAUUGGCAUUUUUGUCUUCCUAGUUCACAACAACCUAGCCAGUGUGGUACUUAAUGUAUUGAAAUUAAAUUGUCCUCCUAUUUUUUUGAGCAGUGUGGUACUUAAAGCAGCUUUUUGAAAUAUUAAGAUUUUUAUCGUAACAAUGCUGCACUGAUUUUCAUAGUAACUGUAUUGCCAUGCCAUUAUAGCUGGAAGAAUUAUGUAAAAAUGACCUUUUGAAUCCAAUAAAGUUGUCUUAAAACAAA
This is a long non-coding RNA of Macrobrachium nipponense, 1633 nucleotides long. RefSeq lists it as uncharacterized. The transcript has 17 exons. The record is from RefSeq and is a predicted model, not a curated record. NCBI's taxonomy places the organism in Eukaryota, Metazoa, Arthropoda, Malacostraca, Decapoda, Palaemonidae.